CUAACAAGGGGAUAAAAAAAUUCAAAUGUGAAACAACUAAUAUUCAAAUGUACGACGACCUUAAACAGCUCGGUGAAACU
RNAcentral lists this small nucleolar RNA (80 nucleotides) under Nicotiana tabacum (common tobacco). RNAcentral's name for it is "Small nucleolar RNA snoR4". It matches the Rfam family "Small nucleolar RNA snoR4". From Rfam's summary of the family: This sequence was obtained from the plant snoRNA database. The record is from Rfam by way of RNAcentral. Lineage: Eukaryota; Viridiplantae; Streptophyta; Magnoliopsida; Solanales; Solanaceae.